Small nucleolar RNA from Rhododendron vialii, 110 nucleotides. RefSeq annotates it as small nucleolar RNA Z152/R70/R12. The transcript has a single exon. NCBI's taxonomy places the organism in Eukaryota, Viridiplantae, Streptophyta, Magnoliopsida, Ericales, Ericaceae. The record is from RefSeq and is a predicted model, not a curated record.
UCUGCUGUGAUGAGGCAAGGCACCAGAUGGUGUUUAUAGGGUAGUGGAAGAGGCAAACAUUGCUCUCCGUGAUCCCAUUUUAUAAACGACUUCUCCUUCCACUGAGCAUC